This 455-nucleotide ribosomal RNA is filed under the name uncultured bacterium. RNAcentral's name for it is "bacterial SSU rRNA". It matches the Rfam family "Bacterial small subunit ribosomal RNA", at positions 923 to 1379 of the family's 1533-position model. The record is from RNAcentral.
GCACAAGCGGUGGAGCAUGUGGUUUAAUUCGAAGCAACGCGAAGAACCUUACCAAGUCUUGACAUCCUUUGACCACUCUAGAGAUAGAGCUUUCCCUUCGGGGACAAAGUGACAGGUGGUGCAUGGUUGUCGUCAGCUCGUGUCGUGAGAUGUUGGGUUAAGUCCCGCAACGAGCGCAACCCUUAUUACUAGUUGCCAGCAUUGAGUUGGGCACUCUAGUGAGACUGCCGGUGACAAACCGGAGGAAGGUGGGGAUGACGUCAAAUCAUCAUGCCCCUUAUGACUUGGGCUACACACGUGCUACAAUGGAUGGUACAACGAGCAGCGAACUCGCGAGGGUAAGCGAAUCUCUUAAAGCCAUUCUCAGUUCGGAUUGUAGGCUGCAACUCGCCUACAUGAAGCCGGAAUCGCUAGUAAUCGCGGAUCAGCACGCCGCGGUGAAUACGUUCCCGGGC